UCGAACGGUAACGCGGGGCAACCUGGCGACGAGUGGCGAACGGGUGAGUAAAGCAUCGGAACGUGCCCAGUAGUGGGGGAUAGCCCGGCGAAAGCCGGAUUAAUACCGCAUACGACCUAAGGGUGAAAGGGGGGGAUCGCAAGACCUCUCGCUAUUGGAGCGGCCGAUGUCAGAUUAGCUAGUUGGUGGGGUAAAGGCCUACCAAGGCGACGAUCUGUAGCUGGUCUGAGAGGACGACCAGCCACACUGGGACUGAGACACGGCCCAGACUCCUACGGGAGGCAGCAGUGGGGAAUUUUGGACAAUGGACGCAAGUCUGAUCCAGCCAUGCCGCGUGCGGGAAGAAGGCCUUCGGGUUGUAAACCGCUUUUGUCAGGGAAGAAAUCUUCUGGGUUAAUACCUCGGGAGGAUGACGGUACCUGAAGAAUAAGCACCGGCUAACUACGUGCCAGCAGCCGCGGUAAUACGUAGGGUGCGAGCGUUAAUCGGAAUUACUGGGCGUAAAGCGUGCGCAGGCGGUUAUGCAAGACAGAUGUGAAAUCCCCGGGCUCAACCUGGGAACUGCAUUUGUGACUGCAUAGCUGGAGUGCGGCAGAGGGGGAUGGAAUUCCGCGUGUAGCAGUGA
RNAcentral lists this ribosomal RNA (625 nucleotides) under Rubrivivax sp. Rud05. RNAcentral's name for it is "bacterial SSU rRNA". It matches the Rfam family "Bacterial small subunit ribosomal RNA", at positions 62 to 684 of the family's 1533-position model. The record is from RNAcentral. Lineage: Bacteria; Pseudomonadati; Pseudomonadota; Betaproteobacteria; Burkholderiales; Sphaerotilaceae.